Molecule: transfer RNA, 89 nt
Filed under: Corynebacterium hylobatis
Lineage: Bacteria; Bacillati; Actinomycetota; Actinomycetes; Mycobacteriales; Corynebacteriaceae
Also listed under: 4 other names
Description: Corynebacterium sp. YIM 101343 tRNA-Ser
Rfam family: tRNA
About the family: Transfer RNA (tRNA) molecules are approximately 80 nucleotides in length.
Source: RNAcentral
GGAGGAUUCGACUAGCGGCCUAUGUCACACGCCUGGAACGCGUGCGGGUAGCAAUACCCUCAAGGGUUCAAAUCCCUUAUCCUCCGCCA